GACGGAGGGUGCGAGCGUUGUCCGGAAUCACUGGGCGUAAAGGGCGCGUAGGCGGCUCAUGAAGGCUGUGGUGAAAGUCCGGGGCUCAACCUCGGAUCGGCCGUGGCGACUCGUGGGCUGGAGCACUGUAGAGGCGGGUGGAAUUCCGGGUGUAGCGGUGGAAUGCGUAGAGAUCCGGAAGAACACCAGUGGCGAAGGCGGCCCGCUGGGCAGUGGCUGACGCUGAGAAGCGAAAGCAUGGGGAGCGAACAGG
RNAcentral lists this ribosomal RNA (253 nucleotides) under uncultured bacterium. RNAcentral's name for it is "partial 16S ribosomal RNA". It matches the Rfam family "Bacterial small subunit ribosomal RNA", at positions 524 to 776 of the family's 1533-position model. The record is from RNAcentral.